This 550-nucleotide ribosomal RNA is filed under the name uncultured bacterium. Its description in RNAcentral is "bacterial SSU rRNA". It matches the Rfam family "Bacterial small subunit ribosomal RNA", at positions 355 to 896 of the family's 1533-position model. The record is from RNAcentral.
UAGGGAAUCUUCCACAAUGGACGCAAGUCUGAUGGAGCAACGCCGCGUGAGUGAAGAAGGUCUUCGGAUCGUAAAACUCUGUUGUUAGAGAAGAACACGAGUGAGAGUAACUGUUCAUUCGAUGACGGUAUCUAACCAGCAAGUCACGGCUAACUACGUGCCAGCAGCCGCGGUAAUACGUAGGUGGCAAGCGUUGUCCGGAUUUAUUGGGCGUAAAGGGAACGCAGGCGGCCUUUUAAGUCUGAUGUGAAAGCCUUCGGCUUAACCGGAGUAGUGCAUUGGAAACUGGAAGACUUGAGUGCAGAAGAGGAGAGUGGAACUCCAUGUGUAGCGGUGAAAUGCGUAGAUAUAUGGAAGAACACCAGUGGCGAAAGCGGCUCUCUGGUCUGUAACUGACGCUGAGGUUCGAAAGCGUGGGUAGCAAACAGGAUUAGAUACCCUGGUAGUCCACGCCGUAAACGAUGAAUGCUAGGUGUUGGAGGGUUUCCGCCCUUCAGUGCCGCAGCUAACGCAAUAAGCAUUCCGCCUGGGGAGUACGACCGCAAGGUUG